RNAcentral lists this non-coding RNA (817 nucleotides) under Phelsuma kochi. RNAcentral's name for it is "partial 12S ribosomal RNA". It matches the Rfam family "Bacterial small subunit ribosomal RNA", at positions 12 to 1384 of the family's 1533-position model. The record is from RNAcentral. Lineage: Eukaryota; Metazoa; Chordata; Lepidosauria; Squamata; Gekkonidae.
UUUGGUCCUAGAUAUACUAUUAUCUCUUUAAAGUAUUACACAUGCCAGCCUCCGCAUCCCAGUGCCUAAAACCAAAAACUGAAGAUCAGUUAUGAAUCGACAUCAGGUACGCUACCCAGCAGCCAACGACGUCUAGCACCGCCACACCCCCACGGAACCCAGCAGUGAUAAACAUUAAGCCAUGAGCUAAAGCUCGACUUAGACAAAAUGAACCAGGACCGGUAAACUUCGUGCCAGCCACCGCGGUUAUACGAAGGGUCCAAGAUAAUAUUUUACGGCGUAAAGUGUGAUCAGAGAUAACCCAGAAGAUUAUAGAACCAUAAAUUAGUAGUAAAAUACAUAUAUUUACAGGACUACCCACCAAUAAUCUAUACAAUGCCUUGACUCACGAAAGCUGGGACACAAACUAGGAUUAGAUACCCUACUAUGCCAGCCGUAAACUUAAGCAAACACAUACAAAUUUGCUCGCCAGAAAAUUACAAGCGAAAGCACAAAAUUCAAAGGACUUGACGGUGUUCCAUAUCAGCCUAGAGGAGCCUGUCCUGUAAUCGAUAAUCCACGUUAUACCUCACCCACUUUUGAUAAAACAGUCUAUAUACCGCCGUCGUCAGCUUAUCUAAUGAUAGAAUCAAAAUAAGCAAAAAUGUCUAACACCAAAACGUCAGGUCAAGGUGUAGCUAAUAAGUGGGCAUGAGAUGGGCUACAUUUUUUUAAACUUAAAAAAUACAGCAAGAAAUAUGAAACAUAGACUAUAAAGGUGGAUUUAGCAGUAAAUUUGUGCAAGACAUGCCAUAUUGAACUUAGCUCUGGAACGCGU